AAAUUGAAGAGUUUGAUCAUGGCUCAGAUUGAACGCUGGCGGCAGGCCUAACACAUGCAAGUCGAACGGUAACAGGAAUCAGCUUGCUGAUUCGCUGACGAGUGGCGGACGGGUGAGUAAUGUCUGGGAAACUGCCUGAUGGAGGGGGAUAACUACUGGAAACGGUAGCUAAUACCGCAUAACGUCGCAAGACCAAAGAGGGGGACCUUCGGGCCUCUUGCCAUCGGAUGUGCCCAGAUGGGAUUAGCUAGUAGGUGGGGUAAAGGCUCACCUAGGCGACGAUCCCUAGCUGGUCUGAGAGGAUGACCAGCCACACUGGAACUGAGACACGGUCCAGACUCCUACGGGAGGCAGCAGUGGGGAAUAUUGCACAAUGGGCGCAAGCCUGAUGCAGCCAUGCCGCGUGUAUGAAGAAGGCCUUCGGGUUGUAAAGUACUUUCAGCGGGGAGGAAGGGAGUAAAGUUAAUACCUUUGCUCAUUGACGUUACCCGCAGAAGAAGCACCGGCUAACUCCGUGCCAGCAGCCGCGGUAAUACGGAGGGUGCAAGCGUUAAUCGGAAUUACUGGGCGUAAAGCGCACGCAGGCGGUUUGUUAAGUCAGAUGUGAAAUCCCCGGGCUCAACCUGGGAACUGCAUCUGAUACUGGCAAGCUUGAGUCUCGUAGAGGGGGGUAGAAUUCCAGGUGUAGCGGUGAAAUGCGUAGAGAUCUGGAGGAAUACCGGUGGCGAAGGCGGCCCCCUGGACGAAGACUGACGCUCAGGUGCGAAAGCGUGGGGAGCAAACAGGAUUAGAUACCCUGGUAGUCCACGCCGUAAACGAUGUCGACUUGGAGGUUGUGCCCUUGAGGCGUGGCUUCCGGAGCUAACGCGUUAAGUCGACCGCCUGGGGAGUACGGCCGCAAGGUUAAAACUCAAAUGAAUUGACGGGGGCCCGCACAAGCGGUGGAGCAUGUGGUUUAAUUCGAUGCAACGCGAAGAACCUUACCUGGUCUUGACAUCCACGGAAGUUUUCAGAGAUGAGAAUGUGCCUUCGGGAACCGUGAGACAGGUGCUGCAUGGCUGUCGUCAGCUCGUGUUGUGAAAUGUUGGGUUAAGUCCCGCAACGAGCGCAACCCUUAUCCUUUGUUGCCAGCGGUCCGGCCGGGAACUCAAAGGAGACUGCCAGUGAUAAACUGGAGGAAGGUGGGGAUGACGUCAAGUCAUCAUGGCCCUUACGACCAGGGCUACACACGUGCUACAAUGGCGCAUACAAAGAGAAGCGACCUCGCGAGAGCAAGCGGACCUCAUAAAGUGCGUCGUAGUCCGGAUUGGAGUCUGCAACUCGACUCCAUGAAGUCGGAAUCGCUAGUAAUCGUGGAUCAGAAUGCCACGGUGAAUACGUUCCCGGGCCUUGUACACACCGCCCGUCACACCAUGGGAGUGGGUUGCAAAAGAAGUAGGUAGCUUAACCUUCGGGAGGGCGCUUACCACUUUGUGAUUCAUGACUGGGGUGAAGUCGUAACAAGGUAACCGUAGGGGAACCUGCGGUUGGAUCACCUCCUUACCUUAAAGAAGC
Molecule: ribosomal RNA, 1554 nt
Filed under: Escherichia coli
Lineage: Bacteria; Pseudomonadati; Pseudomonadota; Gammaproteobacteria; Enterobacterales; Enterobacteriaceae
Description: bacterial SSU rRNA
Rfam family: Bacterial small subunit ribosomal RNA
Source: RNAcentral